Molecule: long non-coding RNA, 25416 nt
Filed under: Arabidopsis lyrata
Lineage: Eukaryota; Viridiplantae; Streptophyta; Magnoliopsida; Brassicales; Brassicaceae
Description: long non-coding RNA (ALYR_LNC001554)
Source: RNAcentral
UUUUUUUCUUUUGUUUGUUUGUUUGUCUUCGUAGAGAGGGAACGAUUCUUGGUGUGAUCUCUUGCGUACGUACUUAUAACACCAUGCUAUAAUUUUUUAAAAAUAUGAUUACAUUGAUGGUGAUGGUGAUUCGAUGGCUGGUAAAGUGUAUUCAAAGUUUAAUCUUUUGCCGGGUAGGAUUGCCAAGAUGAUCUGUCCAAAUUUGAUUAUCUCCUCACUUCAAGUUUUUUCUUUUCCUCCAACGUAAGUUAGAAAUAAUAGUAAAUUGUGAUGUUAUGGUUUUAUGAAGUACGGUCGAAAAUUUAAAUAACAUAUAGAAUGUCGAUCAAAAUUUUUAUUGAUAUUAUGCCUACAUAUGUGUUCACAAUUUCAUGUCAAGUUGUAUGAACCAAAUUAAGAGGGGUUUUGAUUACAAAUCCAACAUGCAAUGAUUCUGUGGUAAAUCUUGCGAGCACUAAAGAUAUUUUUUUGCGGGCACUAAAGAUAUUGUUUGCGGGCUCUAUAGAUAUUUUUUUACCCACAAAUAGAUGUAAUUGUGUUCGUUGGUUGAAUAUUAAAAUUUUAUUUUGAGAUUUGUUUUAAUACAAGGAUAAAGAUUAUAUGAUUUGGAUGAUUUUAAAUUUUAAUGUAUUUUUGUUAUGUUUUUAGUUACAAUGGAAAUUGAUGUGGUAUUUUAUAUUUGAAGUCAUUUUUCAAAUGUACUUCCUAAAUAUAAUAUUUAGGACAAACCCGUCACAUGUUUUCACCCGCCUUCCAUAUUAACAAAUUUGAAUACAUUAUAUGGGAAUUAUAGAGAAUGACGUUGACAGUUCUGAUAAGCGUUUAUGCAUCUAUAUAAAUAUUUAAUUAUAAAUUCGGAUUAAAAAUUAAACAUGUCCUUAGUAAACACAACAAAUAUGUAUUGAAAUAAAGUUAUAUAUUUUGCAAAAAAAAUAUUUGGAUUGGAUAAAGGGUAUGGUAAGUACGUUGCUAUUUGUUAUUCUUUUUUAAAGCUUUAAAAUCGUUUAGUCUUUGGAAUGAAGAAGACUAAAUAUAGAGAAGAGAGUACUCAUCAGAAGUAAUUAAAGAGUAAAUAAUAGAGGUUAAAAAUUGAAAUCUUCAUUGUUAAGAGAGUAGAGUGGAAAUAUAAAUCGAGUAAAAGACAGAAGAGAGAUCCAAGUUCAUGGAAUGCGUAGUUAGGGUUUGAAUCUAUUGAGUGGGGGUUUGACCUAAUGAGGGGAGUAUUCUAUCCAGGAUUGAAUUUGUUUCAGUUUAAUAUACCUUCUCUAGGUUUCACUUUCAAAUCAUAACUAACUCCAUUUUUUUUGCUUUCUAUUUUUUUUUUUUUGCAUUUUAUUUUAUUUGGCUUUACACAUAUUAAUUCAUGGUGUUUAUGUAUGGUUAUAGGUUACGGAUGCAACGUCGUUAAACAAUUACAGGACAAUUAAAUUGCUGAUUCAAUCGAACAUAUGGUGAGUUAUUCACUUUAGUACUUUCAUGUUUAAUAUUUAAAUUAUGCUUGGAUGUAUUGAGAAAUCUAUAAGCUUUCCCAUAAUAUUUUGCGAGCAGCUUAGAUUUCAUAUUCUUCACUAAAAAAAAAAGAAGCUUUGAUUUUGUAUUUACCAUAUUCUUCACUAAAAAAAAAAGAAGCUUUGAUUUUGUAUUUACAUAAUUUGAUAUCAGUUUGAUUAUUGGUUCCAUCAUGAUGCAAAUUACGGCCUCUCAACAACCCUAAUAGACUAUAAUCGUUGGGAAGUCUUCUUUUUUCUCUUGCUUCUCUCUGAUUAUCUUUCACCAGGAGUCUCAGUUAUUAUUAUUUCUUUGUAUUGAUGCGACCAGAAGUUUUAUCUCUUUUUUUAAAUACUGAUCUCUUUAUGGAUUUUUCAUUUAGGUAUGAACAUGGUUCGUUUCACGGGGUGUUUCGGUGUCUUGCCUUGAAUCAAGGCGUGUAAAAACGUAAAGCUUGUUUUUAUCUAUCUUUUUUUUUUUAUUGUCACGUCUUUAUCCAUCUAUGUAAUGUUUAAUCAUCAAUUAUUAUAUUAAACUUCAAUAAAGGCAACAACAUCCUGGUUGGUUUGUUUUAUCUGAUUAGUGUACCAAAUUCAAUUAGAACUAUAUCAGAUCUAAGAAAUUAUUGAUUAUUUAUACAUGCAGGUUAUGUGUGAUCCUUAUACACCAGCUGGUGUUCCAAUUCCAACCAAUAAGAGGCACAACGCUGCUAAAAUUUUCAGACACCCAUCGUUGCCUCCGAGGGGCCUUGGUAUGCUCAUCUUCUUCUUUUUUAGCUAUACAUAUUAUUUUCGUUACUAUAAAUUCUAAUAGUGUUAUUUUUUUUAAACGAUUGUAUGUUUUGGAUGAAUGAAAGCAACCACGAUGCAUGAAGAAGAUUUAGGUGAUGUUUCAAUUAAUCUUUUAUCUUUAAUUUAUCGAUUUUCUAAUUUUACAAAAAUGUUCUCACCGAGUAGAAUAUACUUUUGAGUUUUGAGUUAAAUCUUUCACAGUCUGUUGUGGAUUAGCAACGUUUCAAGCCAUAUUAACUAUUGUGUUGUGGCAGUUCGAAAGAUUCAUAUAAAUUGGACUAUUGCUACAAAGAAAACAGAAUCACAGGUUCAAUUCUAUCAAAAGAGAUAAAGCCUCUUAUCUCUACUGUCUUUGAGGGUAAAGAUGCUAAUGUCAUCGCCCACAGAGCACGAAAUUGCGGAAAAACACAUCCCAUACAUGUAUUGAAAGCAAUCCCAUUAAGGUAUUGAUUAUCAGACAUGAUACUAUAGAUGAAAAAUGCUAAUUAUUGUAUCGCAUGGUUUGUAGGGAAAUGAUAGGGAGCUUGGUUUAACCGUUCUUACAAUGUCUGAGAUGAUAUCCAUGGCUGAGGAAAGAGGAGACUCAGUUUCUGUAUCAGUUUACGAGGUUUCUCAAGAAACCGUGUAUGACCUUUUAGACCAAGAGAAGCGAGUGGUUGCUGUACUGGAAGGUGCACAAGGGAAAAUUCAACUAAAGGGACUUCCUCAGGCAAGUCAUUUAGUGUUCUUGAUCAUUAAUAUUUCAAUGUUUCUGCUUUCAGGUACCUGUGAAGUCACUCUCAUAAUUCCAUAAAGGUGUGAUGAUACAUGUUACCACUGGCAACGCCAAUCCAGGCUCCCUUGGGAGGAUGAACUUUCUUGAUAUGGCAGGUUGAGUAUUUUAAUAUCACAUUUUAAUUGUCUUUUCUUUGUGAUGAUCUUAUGUCAGCAUGUGAUUGGUGUUGUCUUUCUCUGAUAUGAUAUGAGGAUUCUGAUAGAAGCAGUUAAAAGACUAAUUACUAUUUACUAAGGUUUCAAUUUAACCAAGGUUUAUUAUGAGGGUAAACCAUAGUUGGUUUAGCUUUUCUUGUUUGGUCUAUGUCUAUAUAUAAUGUCUGAGAGAGUUGUGAGUGUCUUUUAUCGAGUAAUUGGAGAAAUCUUAGGGGGAGUGGGAGGAGCUCCAUUGUCAAAUUCCUCGAGUCCUUGUAAUUCUCGUCUUGAUAUUCUAUGAAAUACCCUUUUCUAUAAACUACUCCUAUCAGAUUCCAGGAAACAAAACAGUGCUCUAGCUCCUCUAGAGAUUGCCAGAGUUAAUAAGUUGAUAUAUGCUUUACAGAAUGUCAUGUAUGCUCUCAACGGAAAUGAAUCCCAUGUGCCAUAUCGGGAGAGCAAACUCACUCGAAUGCUGAAAGAUUGUUUAAAAGGAUACAACAGACGUUGCUGAUCACAUGAUUGGUAUACUUUUCUUGCUGUUGAGUUCGUUUUAAGUUUAUGAUUCACUGAAUGUAACUGCAGGCGAUGCUAACCCUUUUGUUUUUUUUUAGCCUCGGGAAUAUAGCCAAAACUCCUUUUACAUGUUAAACCGAGCCAUGACUAAUCCUACUAAGAAGAAGAUCUACGGUCUUGAAAGAUCUAUUUCAUUAUGCUCUGCCGCUCAAAGGAGACAGACACCUUUGACUGUGUCUGCUACUUCUAGAAAACAGACAGUGCUAAGGGGAAAUGUGACAGAGAGAAAAGACUAAAAUCAACACUGCUGCUUCUGCAAUUAAAGCAAGGUAAAUCUUUCAGAAACAACUUUGUAUCAACUCUAAGCCUCAAUAUCCAUGAUAUACCUGCAUCUGCUCCGUUGUUCAGUUUUAGAACAUCAAAUAAUGAUGAUUUUUUUUCUCAAUGUUUGAAGGAAACUGUUCCGGGAAGCAAACGAUUCGGUGAAAUGUAAAAAUAGCAUGUUGGAAAAUUUAAUUAAUACGUCAUGAAGUAGAACAAUCUAGAUUCUUCCUUUACAAAGAGGUAAAACAGAGGGUAUAGAAACAGAGACUUAGAGACCAAGAGUCUUAAUUAAGGAGAAUUAAUAAAAAGCAUGUUCGAGAAUUUAAUUAAGACAUGUCAUGAUACGGAAGAAGCCAUGUUCCUUCUUCCUUUAAGAUGUAAAGGCUUUUGGUUUAAGCUUAGCCUUAAAAGAGAGGAAAAACAGAGUAUAUGGAAACGGAGACUAAACCAAAAUUGAAACUUUGUUCCUUGGUUUCGAAAUAAAAGCUAAUUAUAUGAAAAUAUAAGCAUACCCGUCUUUGAAUUAGGAAGGUGCAAUAACGAAAUCGAUUUGAUAUUUCUGAUUGAUGAGAGAAAGGAUAAAAAUUGGAAAGUAUUUAUUUGAAAAAACUUUUUUUUCUGUGGCAUGGUGUUUAAGGAGAAAAUAAGGAAACAGAGAUUUCAUGAAGAAAUAAAAUAGAGCAAGUAACGAACAAGAAGGGACGAGGAAAAUUAAAGCGACGACAUUAGUGAGUUCAAACUAUAAACAAUUAUAUUACUUAAAAUUUAUAUAUACAAUUAAACUAAUUUAUGUAUAUUAUAAUAAUAUAUUUUGAGAGACUUUGAGAGAACCUCUCACUGCACAUGCUCUCAAUACUGCUUUCUAUAGGCACGAGCUGUCGUUCAAGAGGUUCACUUUCUUCCAUUCAAUCAUACUGAUAAGAGAAAAUCUCUAACUAAGAGCAUGAUUAUCCAUAGUGUCUUAGAAAUAAAUCUUAGGAAUAUUUAAGUAAUAUAUUUGUAAAAUAUGGUUCUUAACUAUUUUUUUGUUGCUUACCUAAGAAACCCUCUUAGCAAUAAUGGUUUAGUUGGGAUUUAAUUUUAAUCAUUUAUUGCUAAGAUCCAACUUAAGAAAACUUUAAGAACCUGCCUUUAAUCAUGGUCUAAGAUGCAUAGUGCACAUGAGCAAGUAAAUUGUUGAUUGCCAUUUAACUUCUAUUUCUAAAAAUAUUGGUGUAGAUUCAUAUCAGCUAAUAUUGCCGAUGAUUCAAAUCCAAAAUCUUGAACACAAUAAAGCAAAGAUUAAGUGGAGAGUUAAUACUGUGAUAGACAAUUUUGCUGAAUUAUUAUAUAUCUUAGUUUUUUUAGGUUUUCAUUGGUAGCCUUAAUGAAAACUCGGGCAAUUAUUUUGAGACGGUCCUAAUAAAAAAAGUCUAAUUGUUCCAUUAAAGGAGAAUGAUUUUUUUAUUUGAGUCAUUAACAGUAUUUACUUUGUGUAAUAGUUGUGAGAUAUGAUUUAGUCGGUUUACCCGGUACAAUCAGACUUUCGACAUAGCAAACGAAACCUCUUAACAAUAGUUGUUGAGUUAGCUGCAAAUUCAUCAAAAUAUUUCAUAGAGAACCAACAUUUGGACUUGAUAUACGAGCUGCUACACUAGAAGAGCAAUGGUUUGAACAAUUUGCGAGAUAAUGAAUGUUGUUCUUUAGGAUAAAGUGUGUGUCUUUUUUUGUAAAGGGAUUUGGAGGUACUUGAAAAUAAUUUUUUUGGUUCUCUGGUCAAUUUUGUACGCCACUCUUUGAUCUAGAGGUAUAUAUGAUAGUCCUUAGCAUUGCAUCUAGCUGUAUUGCUUCAUUGUUGUUGUUGUUACUCGGGGACUAACAGUACAUUCGAGGUUUGGUAUACCACUUAACCCUAAUCAAUCCACUACUUACUUGAUAAAGACAUAUUCUCAUCAUGUAUAUUUGAUUAGAUUAGCUAGGCUCGUAAUAUGGGACAAAACCCCGAAGAUGAGCAAGAAAUGCUUUGAAAGAUUUUAUCGUAGCAUGCGUGUCAUAUCUGCACCCUUCGGUGCUCCCUUGUAAAAUCAGAGUAUAUGAGUAUAGAUACUUAAUAGGUUUAAGUGUUCUUCGAUCUUGGACGAUACAUUCCAACUUAUACUGGUCGAUACAGAGGUUAUACAAAUUUUUGGUUUUUCUAAUAAAAUAAAUUGUUUGGUGAAAGAUUGCUAUACCUUUAACAAUUUUAUUUUGUUUGUUUGGGUCACGACAUACAUACUAUAAUUGAUAAAGAGUAUUAUCGUCGCCGUGGAUUCAGGUUUUUCCAAGGACGAUGGAUACAUGGCCGGCCCUAUAGACAUCAACAAGAAACUUUUGCUGUAGCCCAAAUUUUGUUUCUGAAAUUCUUCAACAAAAAUUAUUUACGAAACGGCCCUAAUUUUAUUUAUUUUACGAUAAUUGGCCCUAAAUUUUAAAACCUUUCAAAAUAACCAAAAACUUUUUUUUGAGUAUUUGGCCCUUCAAAUCUCAGGGCAGGCCCUGGAUGGAUAACACUUAGAGAUUUUGAUUCAUGUUAUCGGUUCGCUUAGUCCUACUUUUUAUGAUUUUAAAAUUCAUUGGAAUUUAUCAAUCUUUGUUUCACAUAUACCUUCCUUGGGUGCGAAUGAUUACUGCGCAUUCGCAUCUUUUAGGAAAAUUGAUACUUAGUUUUGAGUAUGUUUAUUUCCCUGGUCCCAUAAUAUCUUUUGUUUGGAUAUUUUAUUGUUUGCAUUGUUAUGGUUUGAUCUAUUAAUUUAAAUAAUUAUAUUUAAUUGGUUGGGUCGUGAGUGUUAGCAAUAUUGAAGACGGAAAACCAAUAAUAAAGUGUGGGAUCAAGUUUAUGUGGAAUUAGAAGAUGAAUUGUAAGUUAUUAAUUUAAUCAAAAUUAGAUUUGUUAUAGUUUAAUUUGGGUAGUAUGCUAAAAACUUAAUUUUAUAAUAAAUUUACGUCUAUAAUGUCGACUAUGGUGGAUACUGUUGUAAAUUUUUGAGAGAAUGGAGUAAACAAUGCGAUAAUAUCACCAUAUUUAUCAUGAGAUUCACUAGAAUAGAAGUCACUCGAGGUAUUCGAAUAUUGUUAUUUUUCAUGUAUAUAUAAUUUCUGAAUAUUUAUUAGUCGAUCACGUUUCUAUGAUAUUGUUUCUGAUGGUUUUGGCUACUAUUGUUUGCAAUGGCAACCGAAUGAUGCUAAACAAUAUGUGUGCUGAAAGUUGCAGGAAUGCGGAGUUGUUUUGUGUUAAGGAUCACAGAAAUUUUUAUUAGUUACUAAGCUUAAAAAAAAAAAAAAAAAAGCUUAUCUAUUUUUUUUGUUUCCAUUUUUCCGAAUUGUUUUUUUUUUCCUAAACAUGUAAAUAUGAUCUAAAAUGAAGUUUGAGGCUUUACAAAAGAUAAAUAAUUACACAAAAGCAACCUUGGCAAAAAAAAAGAUAAAAACAAGAGUACAAUAGAGUAAAGAAAGAUUUGGAAAUAGAUAAAGAAUCCAAAUAAGCAUAAGCUUUGUUCUUCUCGAAGUGAUGAUGUUUCGUAGCUCCACUCCACCAUCUUGAAAAUGAUUUGAGCAGCAAGCCGCAAGGAGUUAUGGAGAAUGUUAUUACGCUGUCGCCAGAACUUAUAGACCACCACUUGAGAUGCUACUUUUCUAAGCAAAGAAGGCACAUGACUGGAAGAGCGUCAGGUCCAAGAAAAUAGCUCAAUCCAAGAGCAAAACAACCUUUGUUGCGGAAAAAGCCUAGAGAAAACUAAAUUCCACACCUGGAAAGAGCUCACAGAGGAGCAGAAGGUGAUCAUGAGACUCCGUUAGGCAAUUAUUUAAGUGACUCUGGAGAGGAAGAGCGUUAGGACAAAGAAAGUAACUCAGCCUAAGAGCAAAACAACUUUUGUCGAGAACAAAGCCUAGAGAAAACUAAAUUCCACACCUGGGAAGAGCUCGCAGAGGAGCAUGAGGUGAUACCGAGACUCUGUUGCAAAAGUGUAAAGACAACACUCAUCAAAUUGAAUUUGUUCCCAAGAAGCCAGUCUUUGAUGAGUGGGCAAUUCUUAAAAAGUGUAAGGAGAAGAAGAGCGUUGGGUCCAAUAAAGUAGCUCAGCCCAAGAGUAUAACAACCUUUGUUGAGGAUAAGGCCUAGAGAAAAUCAAAUUUCCCAUCUCAGAAAAGCUUACAGAGGAGCAGGAUGUGAUCCUGAGACUCCGUAGCAAAAGUGCAUAGACAACACUCAUCGGAUUGAAUUUUUCCCUAAGAAACCAGUCUUUAGCGACUGGAGAGGACGAUUGGAGAUUUAUUUAAGUGUCUCAACAGAAGAAGAGCGUUAGGUGCCAGAAAGUAGCUCAACCCAAGAGCAAAACCACCUUUGUGGAGGAUAAAUCCUAGAGAAAACCAAAUUCCACACCUUGAAAAAGCUCAGAGAGGAACACGAGGUGAUCCCCAGACUCCGUUGCAAAAGUGCAAAUACAACACUUGCCCCCAAGAAGCCAGUCUUUGAUGAGUGGGCAAUUAUUUAAGUGACUCUCGACGGUUCAAGAAAGUAGCUCAGGCUAAGAGCAAAACAACCUUUGUCGAGGACAAAGCCUAGAGAAAACUAAAUUACACACCUGUGAAGAGCUCACAGAGAAGCAGGAGGUGAUCUCGAGACUCUGUUGCAAAAGAACAAAGACAACACUCAUUAGAUUGAAUUUAGCUCCAAGAAGCCAGUCUUUUACGAGUCGACAAUUGCUUAAAAGUGUAAGGAGAGGAAGAGCGUUGGGUCCAAUAAAGUAGCUCAGCCCAAGAGUAAAACAACCUUUGUUAAGGAUAUGGCCUAGAGAAAAUCAAAUUUCCCACCUCGGAAGAGCUCACAGAGGAGCAUGAGGUGAUCCUGAGACUCCGUUGCAAAAGUGCGUAGACAACACUCCUCGAAUUGAAUUUGUCCCCAGGAAACCAGUCUUUAACGACUGGAGAGGACGAUUGAAGCAAGAUUUAUUUAAGUGUCUCAACAGAAAAAGAGCGUCAAGUGCCAAAAAGUAGCUCAACCCAAGAGCAAAACAACCUUUGUGGAGGAUAAAUCCUAGAGAAAACCAAAUUCCACACCUUGAAAAAGCUCACAGAGGAACACGAGGUGAUCCCGAGAGUCCGUUGUAAAAGUGAAAAUACAGCACUUGGCCCCAAGAAGCCAGUCUUUGAUGAGUGGGCAAUUAUUUAAGUGACUCUCGACGGUCCAAGAAAGUAGCUCAGGCCAAGAGCAAAACAACCUUUGUCGAGGAAAAAACCUAUAGAAAACUAAAUUUCACACCUGGGAAGAGCUCACAGAGGAGCAGGAAGUGAUCUCGGGGCUCCGUUACAAAAGUACAAAGACAACACUCAUCGGAUUGAAUUUGUCCCCAAGAAGUCAGUCUUUUACGAGUCGGCAAUUAUUUAAGUGACUCUAGAGAGAAAGAGUGCCGGGUCCAAGAAAGUAGCUUAGUCCAGGAGCACAACAACCUUUGUCGAGGAUAAAGCCUAGAGAAAACCCUAGAGCUGGCUACAAUAUUUUACGAAUUUGUUGUUUACCAAAUUUUUAUAGGAUAUACGAUAAAAUUGAUUUUUUGGAUGUUUAGAUGUUUAUUGUGUUGUUGUGAAAGCUGGAAACAUCACGACACCCAUUUAUGUUGCUGAAAGAGAUGAAGCUCCUAAUCAUUGUCACAUUAUUAAAUUCGAAAUCAAGAACUAUUGGUACCUUCGAAAUUUCUGUUGUUUGUAGUUGUGAGCGUCUCCGGUAUCGACUAUCGUGGUUUUAUGUCAAUAAAUUUCUCACUGAGUGGAGGCAAUGUAUUGAUGACAUUACCAUAUGUAUAUUCAGAUUUGCAAGAACUGAAAUGAGUGAAAGUAUUUUGUUUUGGUUUUGUUAUUUAACAUGUAAUGUUGGGGUUUGAGACAUUGAAACUAUAUUCCUUUGAUAAUUAAAGUACACGAAGAGGUACUGCUUCAUACAAGUGUUCGCAGAUUCUAUUCAAUCAUUCUUGUCAUGAUGCGAGAUAUCUUUUCCAACAAGAAGAAAGGACAAAUGUCACACAUCCAAUUUUGAUCUUUUGAUUAUCUUUGGUUGUUGAUGAGCAAACCAAGACUACUAAAUUUAUACUUUCUGGUUCUAAUGAUUUUAGUUUUCCGUUUUGCAUUUUAUUAUAUUCAGAGGAUAAUAAUCACUAUUUUCUCGCAAUAAUAUAUAUCAAACGUUAUGGCGUUUUACCAUAAUUCUAUAUUAAUGUCGUUAUAAAAAUUAUACUCUUGACAAAAUUUAAUCAAUAAUUGUCUAAAACUUAUAAUCCUAAAUGACUAAUUCGGGUUUUAAUCAACAUACAACCCCGCGCCGGGCGCGGGGACCUCCCCUAGUCUUAUGUAAAAUUGUUCUUGUCAACAAUACUUGAAUGUUUUAACUUUUAAACCUCCCUUUUUUUCAGCCCUUGAAAUUUUUUUGAGCCACUAAUAUUUUUUAUAUAAGAAAAGUCAACAUCCUUUAAUUUAUGAUUUGUCAAAAAAGUUGCCUAACUUAACUCAUGGUAUAAGUAAACACUUUUAGAAAUGUUCACGCCACAUUUGGUCCUCAUGGGAUAGCUUGGAUGACUCACACACUUGUUUAUCUCCAACAAAUUAUAUUAAAUGUUUAAUUAAAAUGAAUUUUUAUUUUUUUUCCAAACCAAGUCUUAUCUCUAAUGAAGGAAGGGACUUCCAUUUUCGAUUACACCGUGAGAUAAACUGAUUCGUCAAAAAAUUAUAAUUCAAAUACAGAUUGAUAACAAAACUAAACUUAUAUAAUAGUCAACUCUGACCUUUUAGUUGCGCAAAAACCAACUAGCAGUGACUUAAACCAAGAACUGAAGCUUGAUCAAACCAAUUAUCACAAUCAAACCACUUUAUUUCCUGAGUCUGACCCAAAUCCUUCAAUCAUCAAAUAGAUCUCUUCACAAAGUUUUACAACAUUAGUCUUUCAAAACCACAAGUAAAAAUAGAUCAAACACAAAGUUUCAAGCAAUAAGUUAAACAAAAUAGAUCGAACAUAAAGCUUUGACACAAAGAAGAAAAUCAUUAUAUCUCUCCAUCACUAAGGGCCUUCUUCUCCAGUCUCUCGAUCUCUCUAUUACUAUUAUUGGUUUUAAAUGAAAGAAACUGUAAGUGAUUUAAACCAAGAAUUAUCGUCAAAAAACAAAAUUUACACCAAUAAGUGAAGCUUGAUCAAACCCAUUAUCAGAAUCAAGCCACUGCAUUUCCUGAGUCAAGUCUUCAAUCAUCAAAUAAAUCUCUUUCGAAAGAGAAUGAGAUCGGUCUUCAGCAUUAAAGGCAUUAACUUGAUUUCUAAUCUCAAUCCAGCUCCAACCUGGAACUUUCUUUACACCUCUCUCUUUCAUCAUCUUCUUCACAUUUGCUUUCUCUUCCCAUUUCUUUAGAUCACUAUACAUAUGAGACAACGAAACAUAGGCAAAAUGAUCUUCUGGUUCGAUCUCUAGCAAAUGGUUAGCCACUUGAGUAGCCAUCUCUAUCUCUCCACAAGCCCUGCAAACUCCAAGGAAAGUUUUCAACACCAUUGGAUCAGGAUUCAAUGGCAUUGAUUCGAUUAACUCUUUCACUUUGUUCACAAGCCCUGCUCUGCCUAAGAGAUCAACUGCAGCUGCAUAAUGUUCCAUUCGAGGUUGGAUUUUGUAAACCGGUUCCAUCGAGUUAAGUAACUCAAGCCCCUCUUGUAUCAAACCCGUGUGGCUACAAGCUGUUAGAAUUGCAGUGAAGGUUACGUGGUCUAGUUUCACGUUUUGGUUACACAUUUGAGAGAAGAGAUCAAGAGAGACUUGGCCUGAACCGUGUUGAGCGUAGCCUAGAAUCAUCGCGUUCCAGGCUAUUGUAUUGUGUUUGGAAGAAAUCUGCUCGAAGCAUUUUCGCGCGUUCUCAAUUACUCCACAUUUUGAGUACAUCAAGAUCAGAGAACUGGUUACAAACUCGUUUGAUUCGAAGCUUGAUUUAGUGGCAAGAGCGUGAGUCUGCUGACCUAACUGGAGUGUUGCUAGGUCCGAGCAUGAUCUGAGAACUGCAGAGAAGGCGUAAUCGUCGACUUCUAUGUUUGAAGAUCUUAAGUAGCGAAAGAACUUUACUGCAUCCUCGCUGAGACCAUUUUGGGAGAACCCUGUCAUAAUCGAAUUCCAAGAGACAAGAUCCUUAGGUUUUAAGGAUUCAAAUAGAGACAGAGCAUCUUUCAUGACGCCUGUAGGAAACUGAAUAUACAUAGAGAUCAAUGCAUUUGAAACAGAAGUAACUUGCUCCAAUCCCUUCUUUAUCACCAAACCAUGCAAAGACUUUCCAAAACUCUGAUGUUCUUCGCCAGAGCAAGCACUUACGAUGCCGGUGUAAGUAUAAAUGUCAGUUUCGAUCCAAUUCCUAUGCAUUUCAGUAAAUAGUUCAAAAGCAGAUUCCUUUUGCUCGUGUUUAGAUAAACCUGCGAUCAUCGAAUUCCACGAAAUCAAGUCUUUUGAGCCACCCAAGCCAUCAAAAACUCUCUUCGCAUCGGAUACUAAACCACAAUUUGCGUAAGAGCUGAUCAUCGCAUUGCAUAUAGUAAUCUCAUGUUCAAGCCCGAGUUUCAAAACCUUAGCAUGAACUUGCUUCAACAAGUUACAAAACAUCGGAUCAUCAAGCAAAGUAAGAAGUGGAGCAAAAGUGCCAUCGUCCAUAGUCACAGCAGCUUUCAUCUCCAUCAAACCCAACAACCAAAAAGCAGUCUUGGUAUCUCGCACUUGCACAAAUCCAGCAAUCAAAGCAUUCCAUGAAACAGAGUUAGGCUCUAAAAUCUCCAUAAAAGCCCCAAAAGCAUCUUCAACUCUUUCACAUUUCGCGUACAUAUCAACAAGCGAACUUCCAACAUACACAUUACACUCAUAACCUCCCUUUACAACCAAACCAUGUACUUGCUCCCCAAGAUCGAACCUUUUCGCAGAAGCAAUCCCUUUCAAUAACCUACUAAAACUAUACCCAUCAACAUAACAUCCACAUCUCUUCAUAUCUGUAAACAAACACCAUGAAUUCUCCAAUUUCCCACAGCUUGUGUAUCCAGAAAUCAUCGUGUUCCAAGACACGGAAUCUCUCUGAGGCAUUUCAUCGAACAACUUAUGUGCAUAACCCAAGAAGCCAAAUUUUAUAUAAGAAUCCAAAAUUCGAUUGGAUACGUAAGUAUCGGAGACGGAACCAUAUUUGAUGGCGUAACAGUGAGUGACGGAAAGCUUUUGGAAAGUGUUUAAAGAGCUCUCUAGUAGAGAGGUUAACAAAGCUUUCAUUCAUCUGUUUCUCUGUGUUCAUGUAAAGUCAACGAACAAGUCAAAAAGAACCUCUCUCUUUUCUCAACAUCAAAGAUAUUUUAUUACUAUUUUUAUGUAAAUAAAAUAUUCUAAAUAUGUAUUUUUGUCAAAUAAUCAGUUUAUUUUAAAUUUAUAUAUUUCCGAAUUUACAUAGUAAUGGAUAAUCAAGUGGCUAGUUUGUGGUAAUUUUAUGUGUUAAUAACCUUAAGUGGAUUAAUUAUAGGUUUAUUCAGUAAAUAGAAAUACAUUUUGAAGCUUGAGUUAUUUGUAAAAUGGUAUUUGUUUCCUCUUUUUUUUUUUUUGGUUUUAGUGUUAAGAUUUCAUUCCAUGGAGAAAAUUACAAGCUAAGCUACAUAGUACAAAAUUAACCCAUUAUCACAAGAACAAAAGACAGAAUAGAGAAAUUACAACGGAUAAAAAAUGAGAAAAUUAGAAAUAAAUGAUAUCUACUUAAAAAUUUGUCUAUAUAUCUUUUUUUUUGUAGAUUGGUCAAAUAGGUUUUUUAAAAAUAAAAACCCAACUUUACCCUCAUUUUCUCUCAAAAUUAAUAAAAAAUUGAUUUCAAAAAUAAAACUUCCUGAUUUAUUUACAAAAGUUAAAUAAAAAUCUAAAGAAUCAAACCUUCCACUUGAGAAAGAGUCUCUCAAUGACCUAUACCUAAUUAACUAUUUUUUUUUUUCUGUCGUAGAUGAACAUGUCGGGAUAAAAAAAAAAACCCUACCCCACCGCCGUAUCUCUGCCGACUGCGUGUUAUCCGGCAUCGUUGGUCCUCCGGUGUUCAUCUGGGCGACGAUUGAAGAUUGAAUCAAUAGGUUCGUUGCUCUACUCUUUUUUUGUGAUUGAAUUAUGUCUUUUUCUUAUCUCAAGUCACAAUUUUCUGUUACUCGUUUAGAGAUUUGCGUUCAUAUAAACACAAAUUGAAUUUGAGACUUGUAAAUCGAUGUGAAUCUUUUUGUUUUCUCGAUUUAGUUGCAAGUCACAAUUUCAAUUUGCAUGUAGAGUUGUUAAUAUCUUUGAAUUCGUGUAACUCGAUUAGAGGUUUCAAUUUUGUGAGUUUUAAAAUUCCAAAUUUCAAUUGUGUAGAUUGAAUAAGUCUUUCGCUCUUUGAUUCAUGUGAAUGUAUAUGUGUUUGGGUUCGAAUUCAUUGAUUUAGACAGAGUUUUAUGACUGAAAUCAUGUCAUCUUCUUAUAAAACUAGAAGUGAAUAUUUUUGUUCUCUUAUUGAUCUGUUUAGUUCGCUAUUUGUAUGUGUGUGUGUCAUGAGUAGCUCAAGUACGUGUCUUGUUUAUUUUUUUAGUUAUAGGUAUUGUCUCUUGUAAAUCUUCUUCAGCUAAGUCAAUUGUAAAUCUUUUUCAGCUAAAGAAAUCCACAUAUCGUCAAUGAAAAUAUCUUUUAUCUCUUAAUUCAUGUUUAAAUCUUUAUUCAAGUUUGUUUCUGCAUGUUGAAAACAAUCUAGGAAGCACGAGUAAUUAGUUACUUUAAUUUAACAUACAAUUUUUUUGUUUGCUAACUGCAACUAUGCACUAUAAUUAGUCAUAACUCUGAAUGGUUUUAUUUAGAUAUGUUUGCUUUUUAUGUGCAGUCACUGCUAAGGAGUUUCACAAGCGCCUUUUCGUACAUGGUAAAGAUCCUAUCUUAAUUGAGCGAAUGAAGAACUAUCAACCUACAUCAAUCGUCGGAUAUCCUUGAAAUUGAUUGAGAUUAAUUAGCAUUAUGGUUUUUUUUUUUAUCAUCAAAACAGAUUACGUACUAACUAGUCUUGUGACAUGUAGUUUGUAUGACCUUUGUUUUUUUUUUCUUAUUAUUUAGGCGUUUUAUGAAUUUAACUUCGUAACGACGUUGCAGAAAUAACUCCAUUAAACAAUAUAAAUCUACACUAGAUCAAAGAUGAUCAAAUACUGAAAAAUAUAUAUAAAAAAAAUAAGGUACUAAGAUGCCGGCAAUCCACACAGUGCCGGCGUUUGGGGUGUGCAAGUGGAGCAAUUGUACCGGGUCCAAUUUUUUUGGGUAAAUUUAAGGGCCCAAUUUUUUUUUUUUCGUAUAGAAAAAAAUGUAAUUUUUAAAACUUUAAGAUAUAUUUAUUAUAAAAAGCUUAAAUAUUUUAUUUAGUAUGAAAGUGGUUAAUUUUUAAGUUUUUUUUUAACAUGAAAAAGGCCCAAUUUUUUUUUUUUUGUAUGAAAAUAGGCCAAAUUUUAAGAUUUGUACCGGGACUCAAAAUUAAUUGAGCCGGCCCUGAAUCCACAGUUACACUUCUUCAGAACUACAGAAGAUCUACUCACAUUUGAAGUACCCGUGACCAAAUCCAUCUACGCAAAAUCAAUAAAUCCUGAUUGAGACAUUUUAUCGAACAACUUAUGUGCGUCCGUUGAAUCGUCUUUUAAAACCAAAAUAAACACACAAAUAUUUACAAUUACAUGCAUUUAAUAGAUCUAUUUUUGGAAUAAUAAGGGAUCAAACUUUGAUUAAACCUGAUGCAACCUCCCCAAUUUGCUUGAAUCGUCACAAGUAAUCACUGUUUUCAAACCGUUGUGCCAAACGAGUCUUUACUUUUCUCUAUUAGUACUUGUCUUCCUUAUUUUUAGAAUCUCCGGCUUAUGUUAGUAUUUGUUUGUUAGUAAGUUUCUUGGUUCAUGUAUAAUUUGAUGCGUAGACAACGACUUCUACAUCUUGUAGAUUGUAAUCUAAAUAAUAAAUAUUCAUUUAAAACGUAAUCUCGAAAAUAUAUAUUGUUUCCUUUUUUGAAGAUUUACUUUCUAUGUUUAGAGUAUUAUAAAAAUUUCAGAAAACGAAAUCUACAAUAUCGUAGAAUUUACAUUCUAAACGAAGAUUACAAUUUCUAACGAUGGCAGAAGAUGUAGAAAUUAGUAGAACGGCUAUUCUAAAAUAUUUAGAACAUAGAGCAAAGCGUAGAAUGCAUAUUCUAAAUAUUUUAGAUAUAAGAUUUUCGGACUUCUAAAAUUUUCAGAACAGAAAUCUAGUCUAAAAUAUGUAGAACAUGUACAAAAAUGCAGAAUACACACUCUGAGUUACGUAGAAUUCUAGAAAACGUGUUCUAACAAAAUUAGACGAAACUUCAUCUAUCAAAAAUUCAACUUUUUUUUAGCCAAAUCUAAAAAUUUUCACUUCAAAUCACCCCUACUCUUGUAUAUCUACCUGUUUUUCUAAUAAUAUUUUUUUUUUAAAUAUUUAAAAUAGGGUGUAGGGGUAGUUUCGUCCAAAAUGACAAUUUCACCAAAAAGGUAUAUAUGGACAAAUUUUUAAGUAGAUAUCCUUUAUUUCCAAUUUUCCCAAAAAAAAUACUAAAAUAAAGAAAUUACAACAGAUUUCAUUUCUUUUUGCAUCGGUGUUAUUUCUUGCCUCGGUUUGUAGCUCCCAAUCAUGCGUAUCACGACCUGAUUGCAGUCAUUUGAAAAAUUCUUGUUUGAGUCAAACUAGAUUUCGUUGAUUAUCUUUCUCUCAAAAUUCUUUAGUUUCCUACUUAGACCUGACUGAAUUUUCUGAGUUUCGUUUUCGUUUCCCGUGACUUUCACCAAAAAUCCCUAAAAAGGCUAAAGAGUUCACAAUACAUACAAAAAAAAACAAUCAAAGAUUCAAAUGAAUGAAAACUGAACUUAAAACAACUCUAAAAUACGAUAUAAAAAAAAAUCAUUAGCUGUCUAUAUACAUUUUAGAUAGAAAUUGAAAUCCAAAAUUGGUCAUUGCCGAAAUAAAAAUAUAAAUUUUCUUAGCCAUUUUCAAAUUUCUUUCCAUUUUUUUUUAAUACAUUUAUAAUUUGAGUGGGAUUUGAUUAACAUAUCACAAACUAGCCGUUGUAAGCGCAUUUCCGAGGAAGACUAGCCGUUACGCUCUCAUUCCCCUUUUCUUUUUUAUUCUUCUCUCAAUUUUAUUUUUUUCCUUUACAAAAUCAUCAAAACCCUAAGCGUCGAAUUCAAUUUGCUUCCACAGAACAAUAGAUUUUCAAAAUCACAGAUCCAAAUCGCUUCUUCAAUGGCGUCCAAAACAGUGGCUGCUAAAGAUAUCAUCACUUUACACGGAUCUGCUGCCAUCGUCAGCGAAUUCUUCUGUGCGUAUUUUCAAUCUCUCACACUCAAAUUUCGUGUAAUUUCACAUUCAUUCUCUUCGAUUUGAUGCUUUUUCUUCUUCUUCUUCCAGGUUACGCAGCGAACAGGUUAGAAUUGAAUCGGUAUUUCAAAUUCAGUUUCUGGAAAUCUCCGAUUAGAUUGGAUAUUGACUCGUUUUGUUGUUUUGAAAUAUAGUAUCUUGUAUAAUCGAGCAGUUUAUCCAGAGGAAAGUUUUGUGAAAGUGAAGAAAUAUGGACUUCCGAUGUUGCUUAUUGAAGAUGAAUCCGUCAAAUCUUUCAUGUCUAAUCUCACUUCUCAGAUCUCCGGUAAUGUAUUUUUUUUUUAAAGAACAGAACAAUAGAGAUAGGUUUGAGAUAUGAUUCUUUUGUGACUGAUUUUGUUUUUGGUCUAAAGAAUGGCUUGAAGCUGGGAAGUUGCAGAGAGUAGUGUUAGUGAUAAUGAGCAAAGCUACUGGUGAAGUUUUGGAGAGGUGGAAUUUUCGGAUUGAGACUGAUAAUGAAGUUGUUGACAAAGGGUCAGUCUUUUUUUUUUUUGAAAAUUGUUGAAUGUGAUGUUCUUGUUUUCAUCAUCUUUAUGGAACUUUCAGUGUGUCGAGGGAGAAAAGUGAUAAGGAGAUCAUGAGGGAGAUUCAAGCUAUUAUGAGACAGGUUGCUUCAAGCGUUACUUACUUGCCUUGUCUUGAUGAAACAUGUAAGUACCAAAUCAUAGCAACUUUGAGUUACCAUUUCAACACUAGUUUGGGUUUAUUUGGAUUUUCAUUUUUUAUUGUGUUUGUUUAGGUGUGUUUGAUGUAUUGGCGUAUACGGACACGGAUGUGGCUGUUCCAUUCACCUGGAUCGAAAGCGACCCCAAGUUGAUUGCUAAUCCACAGAUGGUUAAGUUACACGGGUUUGAUACCAAGGUAAGGAGGAGGAAGAAACUUGAAACCUCUAUUCCGAUCACUUUGAAAUGUCUUAAGUGUAUUGGUUUUCAUUCUCUGCAGAUUCACAAAGUCGACACGCUCGUCUCAUACAAGAACGACGAGUGGGAUGAAGAAGAGUAACAGAAGUCGGGACACGUAUGCAAUGCUCUUUGUUCAGCUUUCGUUUAUGUCUUUGGGAGUUCUUAAUGUUCUAAAGGCACGUGAAUCCUUUAUUCACCCCUAUGCUUUUUUCUGUUUUGUUCUUUCUGAAUUGUAUGAGAAUUCUGUACCUGUGUUGUGUUGUGUUUCGUUCAAAAGUUAUCAGCUUUUCCAAUGUCCCUGUCCCUUGCAUUGAACAAUCUUGGGUGAAAAAGAGAUUUCUAAAAAGCCAAUCAAAUUUCUCUGAUUCACAAUGGAAUGUCAAAAGAGGUGCAUAUUUACAGUGACCGAUGAAAAUAAAGGUUUUUGGAUAAAAAAAAAGAUCUCUAAAAAGCCAAACAAAAAUCUCUCUGAUUCACAAAGAUGGAAUGUGUAUUUACAGUGACUGAUGAAAAAUAAAGGUUUCUUCUAGCCUUUUGUAGACCCAUUUUCUCAUCUCAUUCCUCGGUAUAAGACACCGGAUUGAAGAUCGUCCAUAUUGUCUAUGUUCCGAAACGCGUCAAUCUCUCUCAGACAUGUCCAUCCUCGUCGAGCCAAGAAAUCUCGGUAAUCUUCUUCGGUGUAGAAUAUCUUCUCCUCUUGAUGGACCGGUAACGGAUCAGAUUCAUCAUAGUGGCACACUCUAACGGCUAUCCCUGAAUUCAAUUGGAUAUUGAGAAACCUCUAACCAGAGAGUAUUCAAUGAAUAGCAGAGAAAGAGUGAAUUUACCUUCAUCAACACGGAGUGUAUAGUUCCCUAAAGGCAUGUCUCGGUCAAGAGAGCGAAUAACCUGUUCUUCAUCUUCUAGCCAAAAAGCUCGUCUUGUUCUUAAUCUAAACGCGGAUCUGAUAGCUUCCUUGAUUGCUUCAGCAGUACCAUCAAUCCCAAAUCUUCUUGUAUAAUCUCCAAAUUUCACUGUUAUGAUCCUCCCAACAAAUGGCUGACCAUCACCCCCUGCUUCAAACAUGAAACCGAGAAUUAGUUGUCAUAUAAGUUCAAAAGCUUGAUGAAAAACAAAAACGCUUGCAAUCGAAGAGGCUAAGUUAUAUAAGCUUUUCUGGUUACUUACCAUUUCCAGCGGUGUCUCUCCAACUCCAAGGAGGAACUCCAUUUGCCGUGACGGGAUCAGCAGCAAUGGGGAGGGGAAGACCAUCAUGAUCAAGCUGCGUUUCAAGAUUUAGCGUUGGCCUGCCAUUAGCUGCACACAGAUACAACUCAUAUAAAGACUACACAACUUCCACAAAUCAAACAAAAUGUCCAAGACAAAAUCGGCUUCACAUUAUCACUAACAUUCUAUAAUUUGGUAUUGAGUUCACUUUUAUUUCACUGAAUAAUAAAGCAAUCAUAAGUGCACAAUUGUUUACCCAAAGCUAGGACCGAUACAACCAUUUCUCUCAAAGUAAUUCCCCAACUAAAAAGGAAUUCAACACCACCAUUUAUAUAUACACACAAGAUUCAAGAAAUGUGAGAUCAAUACCUUCAACAGAUGUAAAUGGAAUACCAGUAUCUUCAAAACCUACAAGAAGAUAAAAAAAUAAAGAUCAAUUUUAGAAGAAAACCCAAAUUUACUAUAAAAAGUCAAUAUAGUUUAACAACCAAAUCAACAACUUUAUAAUUAGCCAUUAAUGGUCAAAAUCCUCUUAACUAGGUUUAGCACUAAAAGAGGAACAACACUAAAGAUCAGUCUUUUUCUUCACAAUCCAAAUCCAAAUCUAAACCAACACCCAUUAACAAAUAUUAUCAAAACCUGCAAAAAAUCCAUCAGAAACCCCAAAAUCAAGCAAAAGACUCUACCUUUAUCAGUAAAUUGCAUAAAGGAAUCAACUUUAGCAGAAGAUGGUGGAGUAGUAGUAGAAGGACUCUUAUACAAGGCCACUUUCUUGUUUCUUUCUGUAAAAAUGUCUUCAAUCUCUUUGUAAUAAGACAUCUUCGUUGAUCCUCCACUUGUUGCUUUAUCAUCAUCUUGAUACUUAGCUUUCUUAAACUCUUUCAAUAUGUUCCUCCACUUGUCCGUACACAUAGUUGGUGAUCGAUCAAACCCUUUCUCUCUCAUUUUGCUCGAAAUCUGUUCCCAAAGAUGUUUGUUAGAUUUAGAUGUGUUGAAAAGAUUGUCCAUUUCUCUCCGUAACGAGAUUAAGCAUCGAGUCUCGUCUUGUGCCCAUGUCUCUGCUCGUUUCUUUGGUGCUUUGAUGAUCUCAUGAUCCUCUCCUCCACUGCUAUCUCCGAGGAUGAUCUGAUGAUGUUGUUGUUGUUGUAUCGGUAGAUCUCCGUUUGAUGAUGUAACAUCGAUCAUCAUGUUCAUGUCCCGUGAAGGAUUGUUAUCGGAAACAAACAUGUUUUCUCCGAGGAACAAGGAGAGAUAGAAGAAGAUGUCAAAGAAAACAACACUUUUUUCUUUUACCAUAUACGCGUGGAAUCAACGCGCUGCUAUAAGAGCGCGUCCCUUUGAUAUUUAGUCAAAGCUUAUUAUCUUAAAUUGUUUGAAUAUAAUAAGACAGACAACAUGGAUCAAGAACAAUCCAAGGUUACAAACUUUAAAUCCAAAGAGUAAUCUUCAUGAUAAUUAUAACAAUAACAAUGUGUCCAACAAAGAUGGAAAUGGAGCAAGUUUUUAUUAUUUUUAAAAAGUUUCUAGAGAUAGUUGAAGAUCAUCUCCAUUGAGCAAAGGUAUAUCACCAACCUGAAAAACCAGUCCUGGAUUCAGUAUUUAAGAAACGUCUAACCAAAGAUUAAUGAUCUAUGAAUAGAGGCAAAUUUACCUUCACCGAAAUGGAGUUUAUGAUCUCGAGUAAGAAACUAGACAACCAAAUGAUUAUCUAGUUUCUUGUCCUAAAUGAUGGUAUCCUUUAGUGGCUUCACAAGUGUAUACCAUCAUCAAAUACAAACACUUCUUGUGUAGUCUCCGAAUCCAAAUUCCAUUUACCACACUCAAUAAACAGACCUAUCCUUCAUCAUCCUUCAUUGACAUUGAGUUUAUGAUCUCGGUCAAGAAAGGAGGCCAACAAAUUUCUUCAUCUUUUCGAUCAAAUGAUCAUCUGCUUCUCAACCUAUAUGCAACCCUGAUGGCUUCAGCAGUGUACCACCAAUGCCCAAACUCUUCUUACUAUACGUAGUCUCUGAAUCCAAACUCAAACCACUAAAACAGCCGACAAAUCCCAUCACUUGCUGUCAAACAUACUACUCAGCCUCUUUCUUGGGUUUUCCUUUUGCACAAUUCACAACAUCAUCUGUUUCUCAAACAGCUUCAACAGUACCAUUACUAGUCCUCCCCCACCAAACUACCCUGCUUCUUUCUUGGAUAUUUCUAUUCCUUAUUCUUCUUUUUUUUUUUUUGUCUUUUCUUUGUCAAACCAAAUAAGUAAUACUAAUAUGUAUACAUAUGACAACUACACCCACGGGAAGAUAUAGUUCCCACAAACUAAAGCCUAACCAUGGAGACUGAACCAUUCAAUCAUAUAGAAAAGAAAGGCUCAGAUGGAAUUUUAUACCUAGAGAGUUAACUUAGGGGCCGGCUUCGAACAAACAGCACACAAAAACUCUAGACAAAACGUUUCUUCGUAUUCGCUGUCAUUGAUGCACCGACCACAGUGAUAACACCUCUGUAUGCAAAGAGAACAAGCACGGCAUUCCUCAGAACCUUUCUUUUUCCCUUUACAAUCUUCUGCUGGACAGUCAUACACAAGCCUAGAAUUUUGACACUUUGGGCACAUCUCAAUAUCUAGCGCCCGGUCAUCAUCACAGGACACACAUGCAUCUCCUCUAUGGUAAAAACGCGGCUUCUGAAUAGUCUGCUCGACUUUAUUGUCUAUGUUCAACAAGUCAAACAAUUCAUCGUAAUGAUCUUUAGUAACUCCAAAGAGGCCACCAAUUUCUAAAUGCUUCACUUGAAGCUUUCCCGCAUACUUCAGAUCCCUCAAGAUGCUCAAAAUACCAUCAAUAGUGAUCCUUGUGCAUCCAGGCACACCAAGCUGCCAACCACAGAACAACAUUAGAUUUAAAUAAAAUCCCACAAAUCAAUUCAACCACGAAGCACAUCUAUAACAGCUUAUUAGUAAUCCAGAUAAACUUGAGUAAAUAAAGGAAAAAAGCUCACCUUGACUACUUGUGGGUUGCGCUCCAACACCCGCUUAAGACAAUCAUCAGUAAUUCUACAGCAAUCUACGAGCCUCAAACACUGCAUAGUACCCUGAGCCCUCUCAGUUAAAUGCAGCAGAGCCUCUUCCGUAAUCUUCUCAUUCAACGGUUGACAAAUGUGGAUAUGCUUCCACAAUAACGAGUCAUUACAAACAGUAGUAUGCAGAGACUUGCAAACCAUACUAACUGAAAGAAGAUCCUUCACUCCCAAGUGAUAAAGACAAAAACCAAACGCUGGAUGAAUAUUUGAAUCCUCUCCUCCAUUACUGCAGCGAUCACUACUUCCUACAACUCCACCAUUCCUCGCAUCCUCGAGGCUCAAUACCUCAUCAACACUACUAGCAGAUAUGAAAGCACCGUGACAAGAUCCAUCACCAUCAAAUGCUCCUCCAAACACAUUAUUGUCCUCACUACUCUCCGGGAAUUUACAUGCGGAAAACAAAGACCCAUCAAAUGCCCCACCAAACCCAUACAACGACUCCGAUCCAUUACUGUACCCACUACUCUGAAACUGCAUUGCAUUGUUCCAAAUGAAACUCAAUCCAGCAAAGAGCUGCUGAUGGUUUCCAUCACCAAUCCAAAUGUCAUCACUUCUUCUUCCAUAUUGGUUAUUAUAAUCCAAAUCCUCAAGCCAUCCAGUAAUGGCCGUGAAAGUAUUGUUGAUAUCCAUACCAAACGGAUCAGAUGGCAAAACAUCAAGUAUGUCAACAGAAGAAGAAUCUCCAUUACUCUUCCUUCCAUUAUCAAAACUUGAACACCAAUUCCCAUUGGCUAUCUUCAUUGGUUCCUCAGAUAGAUGAGAAGCAAAGGGUCUAUGUGAAAAAUUUAAAGCCAUUUCUAUUAAAUCUCUAUAUACACUUUAAACCUAAAAAAAAUCCCUCUUUUGUACACAAUCCCUGAAAAAAAACUCAAAACCCCCCUAAGAAGAUAGAUCAGAUCCGAAAAAAACUAAAGGUUAUUUUUUUUGGGUUAUCGAAAGGCGAUAGAUCUAUGGACAGAAAAAAAGGAAACUCUUGAUUUCAGAUGGCAACAAAAAAAUACUAGGCACCAGAAAUUUUCAGAGCUUCCUUGGAACCCUAAAAAACCUAGAGAAAAGAAAUUCGAAAUUGAGACGUAUUAACAACCAAAUUGGGUAACACAAAAAGAAUGAAUUGAAUAAAACUGAUUUUUUCCCUUUUUUUUUUGUUUUCUGUUUACUCUUCUUCUUCCUCAAAACAAAACUAGGGUUUUCAGAAAUUUCGAAACCUAAUCCUAAACAUUAUCAAGAAGAAGAAAGAAAGAUAUGAAUUUUGAAUCUGUGGGAUUGAAUUGAAGAAAUUGAAUCAAAGACACCUCUGUUAUUUCCUCACCCACGAAGAAGAACAACAACGCGAUCAACGGGAAAACCAAACCGAACCCUCGCCGUGAAACUAAACAAGAUCUCCUUUUUUGAGGGAAAUCUUCAGACUUUCGAAUUGGGAAUCAAACAAUUCUCACUUGGGAUUCAAAGAAGAGAGAAAGAUGGAGAAAGAGAGAGAGAGAGAACAGGUUGGUGAAUUUCGUCGACCGAGUCAAGAGAGAAAAUGAUGGAAAGGACGAGAAAAUUGUGCGAAAAAUCUCAACUUUUUUUUUAUUUUUAUUUUAGGGGUUGAGAUUUUACGUGGGAGAGAAAUAAAUAUAAAACUGGAGACAAAAUAAAUUUAAAAACUUAAAUACAAUAAAAUGGAAUGAGAUAAGAUUAGGGUAACGGUGAAAUUGUCAAAGUCUUUGGAAUAAUGGACACGUGUCAUUUGUUUAGUUCUUUGUCAUUCUUUCCAUAUGCCAACAAACUAGGGAUAUCUUAUUUUCUUGUUCGUUUUUUUAAAUCUAUUAUCCAAUAAGAGAUAUUUGAGUUUUUUUUUUUUUUUUGUCGGCCAUUUAGAUUCAUUGAUAUAGCCCAAAUGGGCAAAUUACAGAAAGUCCAGUAUACAGAAGAUUACAGCGAAAAUAAAGCUUAGGUCCUAACUAAAUCUUAAUUAAAGAAAAUAAAAUAUUGAAGCACAAAAGAUUUAGAAAUUGACACGUGUGGGAUAUGUGAUCUUCUCGAAGCUACGCGUCAAGCCGUGGAGUAGCAUCGUCAACGUCGCCGGACAUCGCUGGAUCGCCGAUUAGUCACCGCCGAUCAGCUCUGAAGCGAUGAGAAUCCUCUUGCUUUCUGCCGAUCUCAAUUCCUAGCCAAACGUCAAGAAAUCUCCGGAUCGAAUGAGAAAAAAUAGCUUCAAAUUCAUUCGAGCAUCACUAUCUUCGGGGAAGCUCCAUCACUAGCCACACCCAACUUGAUGUGGUCAGAUCUUUGCUCUUUCUUCUUUGAGCAAAAGGAAUUGAUGAAGAUAUUACUCCUCGAAAAGAUUGGAAGGAUCGGAGAGAAUUUUGAAGAAAAGCGGAGAUAAUAACGGGCUUAGAGAAAAGAUAUCAAAUCUCGCUAGUGCGAGAAGCAAAACCCGGACAGAGCCGGUACUGAGAAUUCCGACAAAAGCCGGAAAUUAUUUAGUUCGUUCAAAAAACGAAAAUAUGUACAAUUCCGGUGAAGUCCGAAAUCAAAACCGAAAGAAGACUUCUCCACUCUGAAAGAUUUAAGAUGGAUAAGAGAAGAGAAGCUUUUUAGAAUUUCCGGUUAAUAAUUCCGGUACACCGGAAAUCGCCUUCUCUCUGAGAGAGAAAGCUCCCAUUCUUUUUAUUUUAUUCUCUCUAUUUGAGUUAAUUAUAUUAGGAUGAUAUUCAACUACUUAUAUAUAAAAUACAACCAAUUACGAUAAACAAUGUAUACAAAUAAUAAUUUUACGCUGCAAUUUUUUUUAUAAUAUUCGGAUUUCCA